This is an RNA transcript of Pteropus alecto (black flying fox), 1569 nucleotides long. RefSeq lists it as uncharacterized. The record is from RefSeq and is a predicted model, not a curated record. The transcript has 3 exons. Lineage: Eukaryota; Metazoa; Chordata; Mammalia; Chiroptera; Pteropodidae.
ACAGUCCUUAUGAAGAAAUGAAUCACUUUUGGAAGAUGACUGGUGGAUGAAAUAAGAGAGGAAACAACCAAUCAGGAAGACAUAUUGUAUACUCGUCAGCGACACUGACUCUCAUGCUGUGAAAUCCAUAAAUGAAGUGUUACAGUACUCCCACUUCUCAUUCACACUUGAACAAGUGCACCCACUCACCCCAGAAGUGUUUCUGAUGGGAGCUGUGAUGAAUGUGACAUUGCCUCCCCGUCCCCUCCAUCGCCCCUUUAGGCACCACCACUCCUCGAGCCGUCGGUGUCCCUGAGGAUCUAUGACCUGGUUCAAACACGAGUGCGUCUUGUGGUUUUCUAUACUUUCGUGUGUGUGUGCGUCAAUGGAGACCGAGAUAAAAGUGCAUGGAGAGCCUGAAUAACAUCACCACAUUGCCAGGGUGCAGCCAGUCAGCUGCAGUGGAAAAUCCCCCACAGAGCUGUAGCCUCAUUUUCUAACCUAAGCUCAGCAACACACUAUCCCACACCCCAACACCUCAGGCUUCGAGGUUUACUUUCCAGAGGGAGGAGGAAAGGGAUAUUAUCAUCACUACUCUGCCUUAAUGGACCUUUUAAAGAUCAAAAUCACAGAGAGUGCUAGGCCUCCACAGAUACUUUGGGAUGACAGAGAAUCUCCCUUGUCUUCCUGUUAAAAUCUAAACCCUUCAGAAAUAAGUCUUUUUCAAAAUAUUAAUUUUGCCUUCCUGACAUAAAAAUAGAAAUCAUUAAUACUCUAUGCAAAAGGAACUUUUUCUAUACCCUACAUCAAAAGUCUAAAGGUUUAUUUGUUCUGAGUGUAGAUUUUGGAGUUUAAUGCUGUAUGUAAUCACUCCAGUCUCAUUAGUACAUUUAGAAUGAUGGCAUCAACUAGCUUCUAUAAGAAUUGAUAUAGUAUCUGUGAAUGAGUCUGGGUCUCUUUACUCCAGGCAAAUGUGAGCUAAUCCUGGACAAAGUAUGCCCUUAUCUUCUUUUACCCGGGUCCCAGAGAAUAUGAAGGGGUCUGGGUGCCACAGCCAGCUGUCAGUUCUAGCCUCUUGCCUUGUCACCAGGCUUACUGACCCCAUAGUCUGGUAAGGGAUCUGGAAAUGAAGGUGGCCAUGGUAAAGCUUGAGCUCUUUUUCCUUUUAGGUGCCCAUGAGCCUAUUUGUUGAUCCUACAUGCAUCCACUGAGAGUGAACAAGCCUAAUGGAUAAAAUCAUCUUAAGAAUGAGGCACAAAGCAGUGUUUCCUGGCAGAUUUUAACACUGCAUUGCCUUGCAGAAGGCUCAGAUUUUCUUUUUUGCUCUGCAAAUCGUUUUAUCUCCUCACCAGAGAGACAGACAGACACAAUCAUAGAGACAGAGACAGACUUACAUGCCCUUCCAAUUUUAGAACCUUCAUCUAUAAAUUAAUUACUAAGAGAAUCACCUUCUAAAUUAAUCUGUGAAAAAAAAUGAGACAUCAUAAGCAAUAAAUAGUGAAUUCUAGCAGAAAGUUACUCUAAUCAGAACUCACUGAAUAUAAUUUAAAAUGUGAGGAACCAUUCCCUUUAAAUACUUUGGAGAUUAUA